ACUCGGAUAUCACGAUGAGACACUCAAAAAGGUCUCCAAUAGGUUGAAAUCUUCAUCGACCAUGAGGUCUCAGAAAUCACCCCCAAAAACCUCGAAACAGACUUCAUCCAGGACCACGAAGCACACAGAAACAUGAUCGGAUCGUCGUCGAGGCUCUAAUACCAUGUAAACAUCGAGAUUAAACCAAUGAAUCAUGAAAAAUAUAGAGAGAGAAAGUAGAGAGAAGGAGGAGUAGGUGAGAAGUCUCUGGAACUCAG
RNAcentral lists this long non-coding RNA (257 nucleotides) under Nicotiana benthamiana. RNAcentral describes it as "long non-coding RNA (NBEN_LNC004326)". Lineage: Eukaryota; Viridiplantae; Streptophyta; Magnoliopsida; Solanales; Solanaceae. The record is from RNAcentral.